AAAACAAAUACGAAGGGUGCAAGCGUUAAUCGGAAUUACUGGGCGUAAAGCGCGCGUAGGUGGUUUGUUAAGUUGAAUGUGAAAGCCCCGGGCUCAACCUGGGAACUGCAUCCAAAACUGGCAAGCUAGAGUAUGGCAGAGGGUGGUGGAAUUUCCUGUGUAGCGGUGAAAUGCGUAGAUAUAGGAAGGAACACCAGUGGCGAAGGCGACUCUCUGGUCUAUAACUGACGCUGAGGCGCGAAAGCGUGGGGAGCAAACAGG
Molecule: ribosomal RNA, 261 nt
Filed under: uncultured Pseudomonadaceae bacterium
Lineage: Bacteria; Pseudomonadati; Pseudomonadota; Gammaproteobacteria; Pseudomonadales; Pseudomonadaceae
Description: partial 16S ribosomal RNA
Rfam family: Bacterial small subunit ribosomal RNA
Source: RNAcentral